Molecule: ribosomal RNA, 1235 nt
Filed under: metagenome
Description: bacterial LSU rRNA
Rfam family: Bacterial large subunit ribosomal RNA
Source: RNAcentral
UGAAUACGAGAUGCUACGGCGUCGAAGCAGUCUAUGUCAUACUUCCAAGAAAAGCUUGCACUGUCAUAAACAAAUAAUGCCUGUACCAUAACCGACACAGGUGGGUAGGUAGAGUAUACUAAGGGGCGCGAGAUAACUCUCUCUAAGGAACUCGGCAAAAUGACUCCGUAACUUCGGGAGAAGGAGUGCCUUAUUUAUAAGGUUGCAAUAACAAGAUCCAAGCAACUGUUUACCAAAAACACAGGUCUCCGCUAAGUCGUAAGACGAUGUAUGGGGGCUGACGCCUGCCCAGUGCCAGAAGGUUAAAGAAGUUGGUUAGCAUCCGCGAAGCUGAUAACUGAAGCCCUGGUGAACGGCGGCCGUAACAAUAACGGUCCUAAGGUAGCGAAAUUCCUUGUCGGGUAAGUUCCGACCCGCACGAAAGGCGUAAUGAUUUGGAUACUGUCUCGGAGAGGGGCUCGGUGAAAUAGACUUGUCUGUGAAGAUGCGGACUACCUGCACCAGGACAGAAAGACCCUAUGAAGCUUUACUGUAACCUGAAAUUGAAAUUGGACUUUACUUGCGCAGUAUAGGUGGGAGGCGUUGAGAAUAUUCUUGCGGGAUUAUUGGAGCCAUCAGUGAGAUACCACUCUUGUAAUGUUAGAUUUCUAACUUUGUAUCAUUAUCUGGUCAAAGAACAGUUUCAGGCGGGCAGUUUGACUGGGGCGGUCGCCUCCUAAACGGUAACGGAGGCGCACAAAGGUUUCCUCUGAACGGGCAGAAAUCGUAUCUAGAGUGUAAAGGCAUAAGGAAGCUUGACUGUGAGACCUACAAGUCGAGCAGGGACGAAAGUCGGUCUUAGUGAUCUGACGGUGCUGAGUGGAAAGGCCGUCACUCAACGGAUAAAAGUUACUCUAGGGAUAACAGGCUGAUCUCCCCCAAGAGUUCACAUCGACGGGGAGGUUUGGCACCUCGAUGUCGGCUCAUCGCAUCCUGGGGCGGUAGUACGUCCCAAGGGUUGGGCUGUUCGCCCAUGAAAGCGGUACGCGAGCUGGGUUCAGAACGUCGUGAGACAAUUCGGUCCAUAUCCGGUGUAGGCGUUAGAAUAUUGAGAGGAGCCUUCUUUAGUACGAGAGGACCGAGAAGGACAUACCUCUGGUGUACCAGUUAUCGUGCCAACGGUAAACGCUGGGUAGCUAUGUGUGGAGUGGAUAACCGCUGGAAGCAUCUAAGUGGGAAGCCCACCUCAAGAUAAG